GACGAACGCUGGCGGCGUGCCUAAUACAUGCAAGUCGAACGAGCGCGACCGGUGCUUGCACUGGUCACUCUAGUGGCGAACGGGUGAGUAACACGUGGGUAACCUGCCCAUCAGAGGGGGAUAACAUUCGGAAACGGAUGCUAAAACCGCAUAGGUCUUCGAACCGCAUGGUUUGAAGAGGAAAAGAGGCGCAAGCUUCUGCUGAUGGUUGGACCCGCGGUGCAUUAGCUAGUUGGUAAGGUAACGGCUCACCAAGGCCGUGAUGCAUAGCCGACCUGAGAGGGUGAUCGGCCACACUGGAACUGAGACACGGCCCAGACUCCUACGGGAGGCAGCAGUAGGGAAUCUUCCGCAAUGGACGAAAGUCUGACGGAGCAACGCCGCGUGAGUGAAGAAGGUUUUCGGAUCGUAAAACUCUGUUGUUAGAGAAGAAUAAGUGCUAGAGUAACUGUUAGCGCCUUGACGGUAUCUAACCAGAAAGCCACGGCUAACUACGUG
RNAcentral lists this ribosomal RNA (498 nucleotides) under uncultured bacterium. RNAcentral describes it as "partial 16S ribosomal RNA". It matches the Rfam family "Bacterial small subunit ribosomal RNA", at positions 28 to 507 of the family's 1533-position model. The record is from RNAcentral.